Molecule: long non-coding RNA, 750 nt
Organism: Malania oleifera
Lineage: Eukaryota; Viridiplantae; Streptophyta; Magnoliopsida; Santalales; Ximeniaceae
Exons: 2
Source: RefSeq, a predicted model, not a curated record
AAAAAUCAAAAUUCAACCGCGGUACAGGAUAAACUCGAACAAGGUCAAGUGGACAAAAUGGGAAAAUAUCGGGAAAAUUGCAGAACCCACGGCACUCGCCGGUGACCAAGCCGCCGCCGACGGCUCCCAUCUUGGUCUCGGAGAAGCGGCAUUGGCGGCUGGCACCGCGCUGACGCCUCAUUCUUCCGACUGCUCCGAGCAUAAUCCAAAUGAUUUUGACGAAAUUAGGGGGAUUGCGGGUCAUUCUAAGCCCGUUUGGUUCGCUCGUCUGUUGAUCUCCAAAGGGAAGUUUCAUCAUUUUAAGCUCCCAUAUUGAAAUCCAUUGGGGGACUAAAGUAUUGAAUCGAAGAACCAGAGAGGAAAGAGCAAAGAUUGGAGAUUGAAGAUUGAAGAACGGGGAAUCUCGAACCAUCUUUGCUGAUUUCUGUCAAGCUUACAUUUCUUGAAGAAAAAAAGGUUGGAGCCUUAGCUUCACUGCAAUAGCCUUGAAGAGCACAAUGUGGACCUCCAAUGUAAAGUCACCCCAUUUUGUCACUAGUCAUUAAAUUGUUUUUGUUUUUUACUUCGAUUUUUUUAAAAGAAAUUUCUUGAUGAGCAAUUUCGUUUGUGCACCGCUUGCCGUGCCCUUGAGUUGUAUUUUUUGUUUGACCAAUAUUUUGUAGUAUAAAUAUAGUUGGUGAUUGUACAAGUAAAGUUUGUAAAUUUCGUAAUUGAUAAUUUUGCAUGAAUGGCGCUUAUAUUUCAUUUUAA